This is a long non-coding RNA of Oncorhynchus masou masou (cherry salmon), 349 nucleotides long. RefSeq lists it as uncharacterized. Lineage: Eukaryota; Metazoa; Chordata; Actinopteri; Salmoniformes; Salmonidae. The record is from RefSeq and is a predicted model, not a curated record. The transcript is spliced from 3 exons.
AUGGCCAGGCGCUGAGCACUGGAGCGAGAGAAAAAGAGAAAGAGAGAGAGAAGAGGAAGACAGGAUGAGAAAGAGAUAAGGGAGGGAUCGAGGAGAGACCACGGUUGGUUAUCUCACAGAUGCAUCUAUGGACCCAGCACUUGGAGACUUAACCGAGAGAUAGGCACUUAACACAUCCACAAUGUAGGACUGAAGAAACAUUAUUGGAGACAGCACAUGGAGACUUGCAAGAUGAUGUUGGAAGUCCAGACUGACAGACGGGCUUGAUACUGAUGUCUCUAAAUGGAGAGAGACCUGCCACUCGGCAUGACAAUUUUACUAAUAAUCAAUUAUUAAAUUGAUUAUUGAA